GGUGAAGAACGUAGUGAAAUGCGAUAAGUAAUGUGAAUUGCAGAAUUCAGUGAAUCAUCGAGUCUUUGAACGCACAUUGCGCCCCCUGGUAUUCCGGGGGGCAUGCCUGUCCGAGCGUCAUUGCCGCCCUCAAGCACGGCUUGUGUGUUGGGCCCCCGCCCCCCGGCUUCGGGGGGCGGGCCCGAAAGGCAGCGGCGGCACCGCGUCCGGUCCUCGAGCGUAUGGGGCUUCGUCACCCGCUCUGUAGGCCCGGCCGGCGCCCGCCGGCGACCCCAAUCAAUCUUUCCAGGUUGACCUCGGAUCAGGUAGGGAUACCCGCUGAACUUAAGCAUAUCAAUAAGCGGAGGA
RNAcentral lists this unclassified non-coding RNA (348 nucleotides) under soil metagenome. RNAcentral describes it as "partial contains 5.8S ribosomal RNA, internal transcribed spacer 2, and large subunit ribosomal RNA". The stretch from base 3 to 120 matches the Rfam family "5.8S ribosomal RNA", at positions 37 to 154 of the family's 154-position model. The record is from RNAcentral.